UAGGGAAUCUUCGGCAAUGGACGGAAGUCUGACCGAGCAACGCCGCGUGAGUGAAGAGGGUUUUCGGAUCGUAAAGCUCUGUUGUAAGAGAAGAACGAGUGUGAGAGUGGAAAGUUCACACUGUGACGGUAUCUUACCAGAAAGGGACGGCUAACUACGUGCCAGCAGCCGCGGUAAUACGUAGGUCCCGAGCGUUGUCCGGAUUUAUUGGGCGUAAAGCGAGCGCAGGCGGUUAGAAAAGUCUGAAGUGAAAGGCAGUGGCUCAACCAUUGUAGGCUUUGGAAACUGUUUAACUUGAGUGCAGAAGGGGAGAGUGGAAUUCCAUGUGUAGCGGUGAAAUGCGUAGAUAUAUGGAGGAACACCGGUGGCGAAAGCGGCUCUCUGGUCUGUAACUGACGCUGAGGCUCGAAAGCGUGGGGAGCGAACAGGAUUAGAUACCCUGGUAGUCCACGCCGUAAACGAUGAGUGCUAGGUGUUAGGUCCUUUCCGGGACUUAGUGCCGCAGCUAACGCAUUAAGCACUCCGCCUGGGGAGUACGACCGCAAGGUUG
This 550-nucleotide ribosomal RNA is filed under the name uncultured bacterium. Its description in RNAcentral is "bacterial SSU rRNA". It matches the Rfam family "Bacterial small subunit ribosomal RNA", at positions 355 to 896 of the family's 1533-position model. The record is from RNAcentral.